UACGUAGGGGGCUAGCGUUGUCCGGAAUCAUUGGGCGUAAAGCGUGCGUAGGUGGUUCGUUAAGUCUGUCGUGAAAGCCCCGGGCUCAACCUGGGAAUGGCGAUGGAUACUGGCGGGCUAGAGUGCGGUAGAGGGUGGUGGAAUUCCCGGUGUAGCAGUGAAAUGCGUAGAGAUCGGGAGGAACAUCAGUUGCGAAGGCGGCCACCUGGACCAGCACUGACACUGAGGCACGAAAGCGUGGGGAGCAAACAGG
RNAcentral lists this ribosomal RNA (253 nucleotides) under uncultured bacterium. Its description in RNAcentral is "partial 16S ribosomal RNA". It matches the Rfam family "Bacterial small subunit ribosomal RNA", at positions 524 to 776 of the family's 1533-position model. The record is from RNAcentral.